This 73-nucleotide transfer RNA is filed under the name uncultured Actinomycetes bacterium. RNAcentral's name for it is "tRNA-Thr". It matches the Rfam family "tRNA". Rfam says of the family: Transfer RNA (tRNA) molecules are approximately 80 nucleotides in length. The record is from RNAcentral. Lineage: Bacteria; Bacillati; Actinomycetota; Actinomycetes. RNAcentral also lists the same sequence under 1 other name.
ACCGCCUUAGCUCAGGGGUAGAGCAACGCACUCGUAAUGCGUAGGUCCCGGGUUCAAAUCCCGGAGGCGACCC